UGACACAGUAGGAUAAGCUACGCACACGGUUUGUCAUGUGUGCCCAUCCAUUGAGGCAGUCAAAAUAGGCAACUCCGCUUUAAAAAUGCUGGGACGUGAUGGGGUGCUACAUUUAGUAGCGAAGUCGCUGAUUUCACCCUUCCAUGAAAAGUCUCUUUCGAGGUUAAAGGUAACCGUACCGCAAACCGACCCAGCUUGGUGAGGAGAGUUUCCUACGCCCAGCGCGAGA
This 229-nucleotide ribosomal RNA is filed under the name Clostridioides difficile. Its description in RNAcentral is "partial 23S ribosomal RNA". It matches the Rfam family "Bacterial large subunit ribosomal RNA", at positions 1470 to 1697 of the family's 2925-position model. The record is from RNAcentral. Lineage: Bacteria; Bacillati; Bacillota; Clostridia; Peptostreptococcales; Peptostreptococcaceae.